Molecule: ribosomal RNA, 353 nt
Filed under: uncultured bacterium
Lineage: Bacteria
Description: bacterial SSU rRNA
Rfam family: Bacterial small subunit ribosomal RNA
Source: RNAcentral
GGGCCCGCACAAGCGGUGGAGUAUGUGGUUUAAUUCGAUGCAACGCGAAGAACCUUACCAGGGUUUGACAUCCUGCGAAUCUCUUGGAAACUUGAGAGUGCCUUCGGGAACGCAGUGACAGGUGGUGCAUGGCUGUCGUCAGCUCGUGUCGUGAGAUGUUGGGUUAAGUCCCGCAACGAGCGCAACCCACGUCUUUAGUUGCCAGCAUUAAGUUGGGCACUUUAAAGGAACUGCCAGUGAUAAGCUGGAGGAAGGUGGGGAUGACGUCAAGUCCUCAUGGCCCUUACGUGUUGGGCUACACACGUGCUACAAUGGCACUUACAGUGGGAAGCUAAGACGCGAGUCCAAGCUAA